RNAcentral lists this ribosomal RNA (169 nucleotides) under uncultured bacterium. RNAcentral's name for it is "partial 16S ribosomal RNA". It matches the Rfam family "Bacterial small subunit ribosomal RNA", at positions 338 to 524 of the family's 1533-position model. The record is from RNAcentral.
CCUACGGGAGGCAGCAGUGGGGAAUAUUGCACAAUGGGCGGAAGCCUGAUGCAGCGAUGCCGCGUGGAGGAAGAAGGUUUUCGGAUUGUAAACUCCUGAUCUGAGGGACGAUAGUGACGGUACCUCAGGAGAAAGCUCCGGCUAACUACGUGCCAGCAGCCGCGGUAAU